GAUUCGCUAGUAAUCGCGCAUCAGCCACGGCGCGGUGAAUACGUUCCCGGGCCUUGUACACACCGCCCGUCAAGCCAUGGGAGCCGGGGGUACCUGAAGUGCGUAACCGCGAGGAGCGCCCUAGGGUAAAACUGGUGACUGGGGCUAAGUCGUAACAAGGUACC
RNAcentral lists this ribosomal RNA (164 nucleotides) under uncultured bacterium. RNAcentral describes it as "partial 16S ribosomal RNA". It matches the Rfam family "Bacterial small subunit ribosomal RNA", at positions 1329 to 1500 of the family's 1533-position model. The record is from RNAcentral.